AUUGAACGCUGGCGGCAGGCCUAACACAUGCUAGUCGAGCGAGCGGCGGAUGGGUGAGUAAUGUCUGGGAAACUGCCUGAUGGAGGGGGAUCACUACUGGAAACGGUAGCUAAUACCGCAUACCAUCAGAUGUGCCCAGAUGGGAUUAGCUGGUAGGUGGGGUAACGGCUCACCUAGGCGACGAUCCCUAGCUGGUCUGAGCGGAUGACCAGCCACACUGGAACUGAGACACGUGCCAGACUCCUACGAGAGGAAGCAGUGGGGAAUAUUGCACAAUGGGCGCAAGCGUAAUGCAGCCAUGCCGCGUGUGUGAAGAAGGCCUUCGGGUUAUAAAGCACUUUCAGCGGGGAGGCGUUACCCGCAGAAGAAGCACCGGCUAACUCCGUGCCAGCAGCCGCGGUAAUUC
Molecule: ribosomal RNA, 406 nt
Filed under: uncultured bacterium
Lineage: Bacteria
Description: partial 16S ribosomal RNA
Rfam family: Bacterial small subunit ribosomal RNA
Source: RNAcentral